This 459-nucleotide ribosomal RNA is filed under the name uncultured Allobrachymonas sp. Its description in RNAcentral is "bacterial SSU rRNA". It matches the Rfam family "Bacterial small subunit ribosomal RNA", at positions 919 to 1382 of the family's 1533-position model. The record is from RNAcentral. Lineage: Bacteria; Pseudomonadati; Pseudomonadota; Betaproteobacteria; Burkholderiales; Comamonadaceae.
ACCCGCACAAGCGGUGGAUGAUGUGGUUUAAUUCGAUGCAACGCGAAAACCUUACCCACCUUUGACAUGGCAGGAAUCCCGAAGAGAUUUGGGAGUGCUCGAAAGAGAACCUGCACACAGGUGCUGCAUGGCUGUCGUCAGCUCGUGUCGUGAGAUGUUGGGUUAAGUCCCGCAACGAGCGCAACCCUUGCCAUUAGUUGCUACGAAAGGGCACUCUAAUGGGACUGCCGGUGACAAACCGGAGGAAGGUGGGGAUGACGUCAAGUCCUCAUGGCCCUUAUAGGUGGGGCUACACACGUCAUACAAUGGCCGGUACAGAGGGUAGCCAACCCGCGAGGGGGGAGCCAAUCCCACAAAGCCGGUCGUAGUCCGGAUCGCAGUCUGCAACUCGACUGCGUGAAGUCGGAAUCGCUAGUAAUCGCGGAUCAGCAUGUCGCGGUGAAUACGUUCCCGGGUCUU